RNAcentral lists this ribosomal RNA (443 nucleotides) under uncultured prokaryote. Its description in RNAcentral is "bacterial SSU rRNA". It matches the Rfam family "Bacterial small subunit ribosomal RNA", at positions 355 to 796 of the family's 1533-position model. The record is from RNAcentral.
UAGGGAAUAUUGGGCAAUGGGCGAGAGCCUGACCCAGCCAUGCCGCGUGAAGGAUGAAGGCCUUCUGGGUUGUAAACUUCUUUUAUACAGGAAGAAAAAGGUCAUGCGUGACCAAUUGACGGUACUGUAUGAAUAAGCACCGGCUAACUCCGUGCCAGCAGCCGCGGUAAUACGGAGGGUGCAAGCGUUGUCCGGAUUUAUUGGGUUUAAAGGGUGCGCAGGCGGUGCGUUAAGUCAGUGGUGAAAUCCCUCAGCUCAACUGAGGAACUGCCAUUGAUACUGGCGUACUUGAGUACGGACGAGGUAGGCGGAAUUUAUGGUGUAGCGGUGAAAUGCAUAGAUACCAUAAAGAACACCGAUAGCGAAGGCAGCUUACUAGACCGUAACUGACGCUCAUGCACGAAAGCGUGGGGAGCGAACAGGAUUAGAUACCCCCGUAGUCC